UACUCGAGUGGCGAACGGGUGAGUAACACGUGGGUGAUCUGCCCUGCACUUCGGGAUAAGCUUGGGAAACUGGGUCUAAUACCGGAUAGGAGCCAUCUUUAGUGUGGUGGUUGGAAAGUUUUUUCGGUGUAGGAUGAGCUCGCGGCCUAUCAGCUUGUUGGUGGGGUAAUGGCCUACCAAGGCGGCGACGGGUAGCCGGCCUGAGAGGGUGUACGGCCACAUUGGGACUGAGACACGGUCCAA
This 243-nucleotide ribosomal RNA is filed under the name uncultured Actinomycetales bacterium. RNAcentral describes it as "partial 16S ribosomal RNA". It matches the Rfam family "Bacterial small subunit ribosomal RNA", at positions 88 to 334 of the family's 1533-position model. The record is from RNAcentral. Lineage: Bacteria; Bacillati; Actinomycetota; Actinomycetes; Actinomycetales.